CACCGGAUAGUCGAUGCACCACGCACAUCAUACAUGAAACCGAUGGUACGUCUGGUUGAGGGUCAAUAUCGAUCAGAUUAUCAAAUAAUAUACCAAAAUUGAUACAUAUGAUACAUAUGAAUGAUAUAUGUUUUGGAUAUAUUAUUUGUUAAAAUUAAUUCAUCAGGUGAUGAUGUGAUGAUAAUCAUUGAAAAAUGACAAAAAUCCCCUGAUUAAGUAUGAUAAAAAUAGUAAGUAAAAAAGGCAAAUUUUUUUUUUUUACAAAAUAUUUAAUUGUAGUAAUAAAUUUUUUCUUCUUUAUAUAUAACUGCUGUAAACCAUAAAAAAAAAAAAAAAAAAAAAAAAAAUAUAAUUUUUUUUAUUUUUUUUUUUUAUUAUUUUUGUUAUGCUUUUUCCCGGGUGUUAAAAACAAAAAAAAAAACAAAAAAAAAAAAAAAAAAAUAAAUAAAAGAAAAAAAACCAUAAUAUAUUAUAUUUUUUUUCUUUUUUUUCUCCACUCCACCCUAAAAUACCCCACAAAAAUAAAAAUACCCCCCCCCAAAAC
Molecule: unclassified non-coding RNA, 544 nt
Filed under: Dirofilaria immitis (dog heartworm nematode)
Lineage: Eukaryota; Metazoa; Nematoda; Chromadorea; Rhabditida; Onchocercidae
Description: sequence contains 5.8S rRNA gene and ITS2
Source: RNAcentral